AGGACGAACGCUGGCGGCGUGCUUAACACAUGCAAGUCGAACGAGGUAGCUUGGCACCUAGUGGCGAACGGGUGAGUAACACGUGAGCAACCUGCCUUUGGCUCUGGGAUAGCCUCCGGAAACGGGGAUUAAUACCGGACAUGACCUGUGACGGCAUCUUCACGGGUGGAAAGUUUUUCGGCCAAAGAGGGCUCGCGGCCUAUCAGCUUGUUGGAGGGGUAACGGCCCACCAAGGCGACGACGGGUAG
RNAcentral lists this ribosomal RNA (248 nucleotides) under uncultured bacterium. RNAcentral describes it as "partial small subunit ribosomal RNA". It matches the Rfam family "Bacterial small subunit ribosomal RNA", at positions 26 to 286 of the family's 1533-position model. The record is from RNAcentral.